GAGAGCACAGUACGAUGAAAGUUGUAAACUGUGUUCGGGGGGGGGGGGGGGGGGGGGGGUUAUUGUCUAUCGUUGGCCUCUAUGGUAGAAUCAGUCGGGGGACCUGAGAGGCGGUGGUUUACCCUGC
RNAcentral lists this non-coding RNA (127 nucleotides) under Helianthus annuus (common sunflower). Lineage: Eukaryota; Viridiplantae; Streptophyta; Magnoliopsida; Asterales; Asteraceae. The record is from RNAcentral.